CGCGCAUACAGCCGGGCAGUGACGUCAUCGUCUGCGCGGAAAUGGACGAACAGUGGGGCUAUGUCGGGGCUAAAUCGCGCCAGCGCUGGCUGUUUUACGCGUAUG
RNAcentral lists this ribosomal RNA (105 nucleotides) under Escherichia coli 2-210-07_S4_C3. Its description in RNAcentral is "partial 16S ribosomal RNA". Lineage: Bacteria; Pseudomonadati; Pseudomonadota; Gammaproteobacteria; Enterobacterales; Enterobacteriaceae. The record is from RNAcentral.